GGCUGGGCCCUGUGCAACAGAAUCCUACGAACUCCGCCAGGUCCGGAAGGAAGCAACGGUAAGUGGGCAAGUUUGUGUGCCGCAGGAUCACCUGGCCCCG
RNAcentral lists this signal recognition particle RNA (100 nucleotides) under Nitrospirota bacterium. RNAcentral describes it as "Nitrospirae bacterium signal recognition particle sRNA small type". It matches the Rfam family "Bacterial small signal recognition particle RNA". Rfam says of the family: The signal recognition particle (SRP) is a universally conserved ribonucleoprotein involved in the co-translational targeting of proteins to membranes. Archaeal SRP consists of a 7S RNA and homologues of the eukaryotic SRP19 and SRP54 proteins. In most bacteria, the SRP consists of a 4.5S RNA and the Ffh protein (a homologue of the eukaryotic SRP54 protein). Lineage: Bacteria; Pseudomonadati; Nitrospirota. The record is from RNAcentral.